Molecule: non-coding RNA, 516 nt
Organism: Anas platyrhynchos (mallard)
Lineage: Eukaryota; Metazoa; Chordata; Aves; Anseriformes; Anatidae
Source: RefSeq, a predicted model, not a curated record
CUUUGAAGUAGUGGCAGCUCUGUAGGUUUGCUGUACCUCUGCCUCAACUACAUGUAAGGCUGGCUUCCCUAAUAGGACUUGAGCUGGGACCUUAAGUUCAAAAGAAUUAACCUUUGCUCACAGCAUGAGAGAAAUGAUAGUUACACAUUCACUUUUGUGCCUCUGGCUAGUAUGGAGUCCAUCUCGGUAUUGAUGUCAGACACAGAAGACGUGGUACAUGGAAGAAAUAAUAGAAGGCCAUCCACUGGCAGAAAAGAAUGAAUUAAUUGGGAAACUGAGGGAGGGACUUUAGAAUUAUUAAAGAGAGAACUUCUUCAGAAUACCAUCUACCAAUUUUUCCCCCUCAAAUAUCUGCUGUUGUCUGUAAUGACUGGGUCAGUUUCAAUGUUUAUUUUCAGCCAAGAAAAUAUUCUCGUGUUCCUAAAGGCACAGAAGUCUAACAUUGAAUAAGGUGUUAUGGUUUUCCAGGUUGCUUUGUGAUUUCUUUUCAUGAAUAUUAAACAACCCAGGUGAUGA